UAGAUAGGCUGCCUUUAUCUCCACAUGGC
RNAcentral lists this non-coding RNA (29 nucleotides) under Mus musculus (house mouse). The record is from RNAcentral. Lineage: Eukaryota; Metazoa; Chordata; Mammalia; Rodentia; Muridae.